UCCCCGAUAGCUCAAUCGGUAGAGCGAGCGGCUGUUAACCGCUAGGUUACUGGUUCGAGUCCAGUUCGGGGAGCCA
This 76-nucleotide transfer RNA is filed under the name Planctomycetes bacterium ADurb.Bin412. RNAcentral describes it as "tRNA-Asn". It matches the Rfam family "tRNA". Rfam says of the family: Transfer RNA (tRNA) molecules are approximately 80 nucleotides in length. The record is from RNAcentral. Lineage: Bacteria; Pseudomonadati; Planctomycetota.